RNAcentral lists this small RNA (37 nucleotides) under Arabidopsis thaliana (thale cress). RNAcentral's name for it is "ATSL056500". The record is from RNAcentral. Lineage: Eukaryota; Viridiplantae; Streptophyta; Magnoliopsida; Brassicales; Brassicaceae.
UUAUUUAUAUGGGGGAUGCAUGGUAAGCAUCGAUGUU